AGAGUUUGAUCCUGGCUCAGAUUGAACGCUGGCGGAAUGCUUUACACAUGCAAGUCGAACGGCAGCACGGGAGCUUGCUCCUGGUGGCGAGUGGCGAACGGGUGAGUAAUGCGUCGGGACGUACCGAGUAAUGGGGGAUAACGCAGCGAAAGUUGUGCUAAUACCGCAUACGCCCUGAGGGGGAAAGUGGGGGAUCGUAAGACCUCACGUUAUUCGAGCGGCCGACGUCUGAUUAGCUAGUUGGUGGGGUAAUGGCUCACCAAGGCGACGAUCAGUAGCGGGUCUGAGAGGAUGAUCCGCCACACUGGGACUGAGACACGGCCCAGACUCCUACGGGAGGCAGCAGUGGGGAAUUUUGGACAAUGGGGGCAACCCUGAUCCAGCCAUUCCGCGUGAGUGAAGAAGGCCUUCGGGUUGUAAAGCUCUUUCAGCUGGAACGAAACGGUACGCUCUAACAUAGCGUGCUAAUGACGGUACCAGCAGAAGAAGCACCGGCUAACUACGUGCCAGCAGCCGCGGUAAUACGUAGGGUGCGAGCGUUAAUCGGAAUUACUGGGCGUAAAGCGUGCGCAGGCGGAUUGUUAAGCAAGAUGUGAAAUCCCCGGGCUUAACCUGGGAAUGGCAUUUUGAACUGGCAGUCUAGAGUGCGUCAGAGGGGGGUGGAAUUCCACGUGUAGCAGUGAAAUGCGUAGAGAUGUGGAGGAACACCGAUGGCGAAGGCAGCCCCCCUGGGAUAACACUGACGCUCAUGUACGAAAGCGUGGGUAGCAAACAGGAUUAGAUACCCUGGUAGUCCACGC
This 800-nucleotide ribosomal RNA is filed under the name uncultured bacterium. Its description in RNAcentral is "bacterial SSU rRNA". It matches the Rfam family "Bacterial small subunit ribosomal RNA", at positions 8 to 800 of the family's 1533-position model. The record is from RNAcentral.